CCUACGGGAGGCAGCAGUGGGGAAUCUUAGACAAUGGGCGCAAGCCUGAUCUAGCCAUGCCGCGUGGGUGAUGAAGGCCUUAGGGUCGUAAAGCCCUUUCGCCGGGGAAGAUAAUGACGGUACCCGGUAAAGAAACCCCGGCUAACUCCGUGCCAGCAGCCGCGGUAAUACGGAGGGGGUUAGCGUUGUUCGGAAUGACUGGGCGUAAAGCGCGCGUAGGCGGAUCGUAAAGUUGGGGGUGAAAGCCCAGGGCUCAACCCUGGAAUUGCCUUCAAGACUCGCGGUCUAGAGUUCGAGAGAGGUGAGUGGAAUUCCGAGUGUAGAGGUGAAAUUCGUAGAUAUUCGGAGGAACACCAGUGGCGAAGGCGGCUCACUGGCUCGACACUGACGCUGAGGUGCGAAAGCGUGGGAGCAAACAGGAUUAGAUACCCUGGUAGUCCACGCCGUAAACGAUGAAUGCCAGACGUCGGGGUCGUCGUCCGUCGGUGUCACACCUACGUAGUAGACACUCCGUCCGUCGGGUAGGUACGGCCGCGACGGUAAACGUACAAUAGAUAGACGGCGUGAGACGUCGCCGAACGGACGACGACGAGGGAGUAGG
Molecule: ribosomal RNA, 601 nt
Filed under: uncultured bacterium
Lineage: Bacteria
Description: bacterial SSU rRNA
Rfam family: Bacterial small subunit ribosomal RNA (bases 1-515)
Source: RNAcentral